GGGAAUAUUGGACAAUGGGCGAAAGCCUGAUCCAGCCAUGCCGCGUGUGUGAAGAAGGCCUUCGGGUUGUAAAGCACUUUAAGCGAGGAGGAAUGGCUCUAGGUUAAUACCCUUGAGCAGUGACGUUACUCGCAGAAUAAGCACCGGCUAACUCUGUGCCAGCAGCCGCGGUAAUACAGAGGGUGCAAGCGUUAAUCGGAAUUACUGGGCGUAAAGCGCGCGUAGGCGGUUACGUAAGUUGGAGGUGAAAUCCCCGAGCUCAACUUGGGAAUUGCCUUCAAAACUGCGUGGCUAGAGUGUGGGAGAGGAAGGUAGAAUUCCAGGUGUAGCGGUGAAAUGCGUAGAUAUCUGGAGGAAUACCGAUGGCGAAGGCAGCCUUCUGGCCUAACACUGACGCUGAGGUGCGAAAGCAUGGGGAGC
Molecule: ribosomal RNA, 420 nt
Filed under: uncultured bacterium
Lineage: Bacteria
Description: bacterial SSU rRNA
Rfam family: Bacterial small subunit ribosomal RNA
Source: RNAcentral